AUGGUCGUCGCCCCGUCGGGGAGCGGCGCCACCGCCAACGUCGUCGCCUCGGAGGGCAUCGUCUCCGGGACGAACGGCGUCGCGUCGGAGGGGAGCGAUGGCGGCGCCUUGGAAGGCGUCGCCCCAGGGACGAACGGCGUCGCCUCGGAAGGGAGCGGCCCCGGCGCCAAGGUUGGAGGGGAGCGGCGUCGGAGGCGAGCGGCGUCGAAUUCCCUCAGCGCCAAGGCGGCCGUCCCCGUCGACAAGUGGCGCUGCCACCAGUGCCGUCAGAGAAAAAUAGGGGUCGCGACAGAUUGCAAAAGGUGCACCCAGAGAUACUGCGAGAGUUGCAUGCGUAACAGGUACCCUUUGAUUGCGGAUGAGGUGUUGAAGAAUGGGGCCUGGGAAUGCGCCAAAUGCAGGAAGGAGUGCAACUGCAGCGUGUGCCAAAAGAAGAGAGGGGAGGAGCCGACGGGGCGAAUGGUCCAUGCUACCAAGAGGCCGAAGGUCAGCCUGGUGCAAACUAAGAGCAUCAGUACUCUCAAGGAUGAAAUAGUUGUACCCAGGGGUACUCCGGUCACUUGCAUUGCAGGUAUAAAGCUGCAGUCUGAAGAUGUUGGCGCUGCUAUUCAAUUUCUGGUGUUCUGCCGCUCAUUUGGCGAGGUAAUUAUGGAAAGCAAAUAUUAUGCUUUAUUUAUCAUUUCAUGUUGCAUUGAACCAUUGAUGCAUCCACUCAUUUCUAAAUCUGGUUUACGCUAA
RNAcentral lists this ribosomal RNA (738 nucleotides) under Triticum aestivum (bread wheat). Its description in RNAcentral is "partial small subunit ribosomal RNA". Lineage: Eukaryota; Viridiplantae; Streptophyta; Magnoliopsida; Poales; Poaceae. The record is from RNAcentral.